Molecule: ribosomal RNA, 293 nt
Filed under: uncultured eukaryote
Lineage: Eukaryota
Description: partial 18S ribosomal RNA
Rfam family: Eukaryotic small subunit ribosomal RNA
Source: RNAcentral
GGUUGAUCCUGCCAGUAGUCAUAUGCUUGUCUUAAAGAUUAAGCCAUGCAUGUCUAAGUAUAAAUAGUAUACAGUGAAACUGCGAAUGGCUCAUUAAAACAGUUAUAGUUUAUUUGAUAAUUGAAUUAUACAUGGAUAACCGUGGUAAUUCUAGAGCUAAUACAUGCAGUAAAACCUGACUUUUUGGAAAGGUUGUAUUUAUUAGAUAUCAAACCAAUAUUCCUUCGGGUCUAUUGUGAUGAUUCAUAAUAACUGAUCGAAGCUUAGCUCGGCUAAGCUAAAUCAUUCAAGUU